UUCAUUGUCUCCUGAUUGAGGACUUCAGAAAGUUUGGUAGUCACCGAAAACAGAGGCCAUAGUUUGCAUGGCCACUUCGAAUGAAGACAGGGGCAUCUUGAGUUGGCUGCUGAUCCAGAAAGACAACACCCGCUUCCCUGGGACCUCACAGCUUCAUAAUCCGUGGCAUAGGAGGCAUAGCAAGGGGAGACAUUGACUCACGAGACAGAUCCUUCAAAGAGAUGUCAGCACUAUUACUCAU
This is a long non-coding RNA of Gekko japonicus, 241 nucleotides long. RefSeq lists it as uncharacterized. NCBI's taxonomy places the organism in Eukaryota, Metazoa, Chordata, Lepidosauria, Squamata, Gekkonidae. The record is from RefSeq and is a predicted model, not a curated record. The transcript is spliced from 3 exons.